AAAAAAAGUCUAAAAGUAGAUCACAUGUUUUUGUUUUGUAAACAGCCCAGAGAAUCAAAAUGGCUGAGGGGACUCCUCUCUGUGUCAUCAGUUGGAAGGUUAAAGCUUUUUGGUGGAGGGUCUGUCUGUCACUUUUGGCUGAGUAUGCCAGAAAGGAUCUUCCCCUAUUGGAGUAUGCGGUUGAUGUUUAGCCAGCUUGCCUUUCUAACGGCAUUCGACAACUCUGCUCUGAACUCACUGUUCUGGAUCGGGGCUAACUACCAUCACCCCGUCGACCUCCGUCGACCUCACUCUGGAGAGUGCACUGCCCCGAUCCAGAGCAUAGCCAGACCCAGAGUCCAGCCCACCAUCUCCCCGCUGUGUGGAGCCCAAGCCCGAGCCCACCGAUGAUGGAGAGCCUGAGCCCGCCACGACCGAUCUGCCAUUGCCAUGCGGAGUGACAGAGCUGAGGAUUGCCGUGGAGCCGAUGCUGCUUGUGAUGUCAGACCAGGUUCGAGAGCCAGCUGCUACGCUCGCCACGAGGGAGAAAGCUGUGUAUAGCGAGAGCGCGGAGAGAAGCUCCGCCCACUGCACCAUGGCUGAUGGCGAGCUUACAAAGGAACAGAGACUGCUGGAUUUUGAAGGGGAUUUAAUUGAUUUAUAUACCGACCUGCCCGCCCUUUUCCUGCUCCUUCUUCAAGUCCCUCCUGUCUCCUCCCUGGCUUCUCCCUCCAUCUGCUCCACCCUGGCUCCUCCUGUUUCCUCCCUGGCUCCUCCCUCCAUCAUCUCCACCCUGGACUAUGUUGACCAUCCUCCUCCCAGGUGUCUGUCCUCCACCCGAACCUCCUGCUGAGUUCCGCUCUGUCCCUACCUCUGGUGUAUCUAUGGCGCAAGGACGCGCCUUCUGGGAGGGGGCGAUAUGUCAGGAUUAUGGACUGUCUGUGUGUUUGUUUUGCUCCCCAUGUGCUCCCCGUGACCCAGUUUCUCCCUCAUUUGAUAACGUUCAUUUCUGUUUAUUCAGUGCAAUUUCAAUUAUUGUUCAUAUAAUUAUUUACAGGUAAAAGAAUGACAUCUGAAUGCAUUUUGCUUGAAAAUGCACUACUUUGAUAAAAAAAAAUAUACAAUAUGUUCAUAUAUUCAUAGCAUAAAAUAUUCUGAGGGCCAUCAAAUUUAAGUGAAUAUCAUCAAAAAUGCUGGCGAUGCUGGCAACCUUUUUUAAAAUUAAACUGAAACAACUGACACGGUGACUUGGUUUGUCUUUCUUUUUUUCUUUCUCUUUAUUUUUCUCUUCCUCUUUGAAGUGCAACUAUUUGGUCCAUAGAUACUUUAGGGAAGCAUAAGGAAAGUCAUGCUCUGUUAUUAUAGUCUACUUUUGGAGUUGAAAACACACUUGUGUUUCAGUGUUUCAGGCAGUGAAUAUACAGUAUUUCGACUGAAGUCUGUCAGGCGAAGUUCAGGAGGUAUUUAUGCUUUUCUGCUUGUUUCUUCUUCUUUUUUUUUUCUUCUAGUAUGCACCUCACCCGAGGCUUUAGUAGGCAUAAAUAGUUGAUGAAAAAAGGAACAACAAUAGUUACUUUAGUUCUUCAUACAAUAUUUAAUAUACACACAGCACAGAAUGGGGAGAGGCAGAAAAAUGUUGUCAGCUUACCCACACCUAAGCGCUGAGGGAGCAGGCCUAACGAAAGAGGGAGGUUUGUCUUUGAGGGUGGGGAAGGUUAGCUUUACUGGGUAUUUGCUCUGUUAUCAAUUUUCCAAGAUUUUAAUUGGAACCUCAUCAUGCUAUAUUAAUCUGAAGUUAGUUCCUGGAUGAAGAGGGCUAAUACAUCAACAACUAUUUUUCUGUAACACAACAACCCUUUCAGGACUGAGAGUUAGAGUUACUGUACAGAUUUGUUUUCCCUUUACAAGGGGUCAAGGCACAGUUAGCCCCUUGUGGUAGAUACUAACUACACCAGCAGGAUAGAAAAAGCAUCUUUCACUCUGAGCAUCCAUUCAAAAGUUAGUACAUUUUGAUAGAAUAAAUAUUCUGAAGGCAAUAUGCAC
Cyprinus carpio carpio is the source of this 2022-nucleotide long non-coding RNA. The record is from Ensembl. Lineage: Eukaryota; Metazoa; Chordata; Actinopteri; Cypriniformes; Cyprinidae.